GGGCUGGGUGCAGUGGCUCACUCCUGUAAUCCCAGCACACUUUGGGAGGCUGAGGUAGGCGGAUCAACUGAAGUCAGAACUGAGUUCAAGACCAGCCUGGCCAACAUCCUGAAACCCUGCCUCUACUAAAAAUACAAAAA
Long non-coding RNA from Sapajus apella (tufted capuchin), 140 nucleotides. RefSeq lists it as uncharacterized. The record is from RefSeq and is a predicted model, not a curated record. The transcript has 3 exons. NCBI's taxonomy places the organism in Eukaryota, Metazoa, Chordata, Mammalia, Primates, Cebidae.